RNAcentral lists this ribosomal RNA (459 nucleotides) under uncultured bacterium. RNAcentral describes it as "partial 16S ribosomal RNA". It matches the Rfam family "Bacterial small subunit ribosomal RNA", at positions 338 to 795 of the family's 1533-position model. The record is from RNAcentral.
CCUACGGGUGGCAGCAGUGAGGAAUAUUGGUCAAUGGUCGGGAGACUGAACCAGCCAAGCCGCGUGAGGGAGGAAGGUACAGAGUAUCGUAAACCUCUUUUGUCAGGGAACAAAGGCGGGGACGUGUCCCCGGAUGAGUGUACCUGAAGAAAAAGCAUCGGCUAACUCCGGUCCAGCAGCCGCGGUAAUACGGAGGAUGCGAGCGUUAUCGGGAUUUAUUGGGGUUAAGGGGUGGGCAGGGGGUCUGUUAAGUCAGCGGUCAAAGCCCGGGGCUCAACCCCGGCCCGCCGUUGAAACUGGCAGUCUCGAGUUGGAGAGAGGUAUGCGGAAUGCGCGGUGUAGCGGUGAAAUGCAUAGAUAUCGCGAAGAACUCCGAUUGCGAAGGCGGCAUGCCGGCUCCACACUGACGCUGAGGCGCGAAAGCGUGGGUAUCGAACAGGAUUAGAUACCCUAGUAGUC